RNAcentral lists this ribosomal RNA (251 nucleotides) under uncultured bacterium. RNAcentral describes it as "partial 16S ribosomal RNA". It matches the Rfam family "Bacterial small subunit ribosomal RNA", at positions 525 to 775 of the family's 1533-position model. The record is from RNAcentral.
ACGUAGGUGGCGAGCGUUAUCCGGAUUUACUGGGUGUAAAGGGCGAGUAGGCGGGAUUGCAAGUCAGAUGUGAAAACUAUGGGCUCAACCCAUAGACUGCAUUUGAAACUGUAGUUCUUGAGUGAUGGAGAGGCAGGCGGAAUUCCCGGUGUAGCGGUGGAAUGCGUAGAUAUCGGGAGGAACACCAGUGGCGAAGGCGGCCUGCUGGACAUUAACUGACGCUGAGGCGCGAAAGCGUGGGGAGCAAACAG